This 495-nucleotide ribosomal RNA is filed under the name uncultured bacterium. RNAcentral describes it as "partial 16S ribosomal RNA". It matches the Rfam family "Bacterial small subunit ribosomal RNA", at positions 28 to 507 of the family's 1533-position model. The record is from RNAcentral.
GACGAACGCUGGCGGCGUGCCUAAUACGUGCAAGUCGAACGCUGAAGGAGGAGCUUGCUUCUCUGGAUGAGUUGCGAACGGGUGAGUAACGCGUAGGUAACCUGCCUGGUAGCGGGGGAUAACUAUUGGAAACGAUAGCUAAUACCGCAUAAUAGUAGAUGUUGCAUGACAUUUACUUAAAAGGUGCAAUUGCAUCACUACCAGAUGGACCUGCGUUGUAUUAGCUAGUUGGUGGGGUAACGGCUCACCAAGGCGACGAUACAUAGCCGACCUGAGAGGGGGAUCGGCCACACUGGGACUGAGACACGGCCCAGACUCCUACGGGAGGCAGCAGUAGGGAAUCUUCGGCAAUGGACGAAAGUCUGACCGAGCAACGCCGCGGGAGUGAAGAAGGGUGUCGGAUCGUAAAGCUCUGUUGUAAGAGAAGAACGAGUGUGAGAGUGGAAAGUUCACACUGUGACGGUAGCUUACCAGAAAGGGACGGCUAACUACGUG